UCUGUCAUCAUGAUUUCGAGCCGAGCUGGAUCGCAGGUAUUUCGAUCGGCGCGAUUAACGCUGCGAUCAUCGCCGGCAAUGAGCGCGAAAAGCGGGUCGGCAAGCUGAAGGAGUUCUGGGAAAUGGUGUCGUCGGGUUCGCCGAUGCCAUGGGCUCCGUUCGUGCAGGGCGACCACGCGCGCUCGGUCUUCAAUGAGACCAGCGCCGCGCUGAUCGCGACCUUCGGAG
RNAcentral lists this unclassified non-coding RNA (228 nucleotides) under Hevea brasiliensis (rubber tree). Lineage: Eukaryota; Viridiplantae; Streptophyta; Magnoliopsida; Malpighiales; Euphorbiaceae. The record is from RNAcentral.